CAGCAGUCGCCGCGGUAAUACAGAGGGUGCGAGCGUUAAUCGGAUUUACUGGGCGUAAAGCGUGCGUAGGCGGCUAAUUGAGUCGGAUGUGAAAUCCCCGAGCUUAACUUGGGAAUUGCAUUCGAUACUGGUUAGCUAGAGUGUGGGAGAGGAUGGUAGAAUUCCAGGUGUAGCGGUGAAAUGCGUAGAGAUCUGGAGGAAUACCGAUGGCGAAGGCAGCCAUCUGGCCUAACACUGACGCUGAGGUACGAAAGCAUGGGGAGCAAACAGGAUUAGAUACCCCUGUAGUCCCUGUCUCUUAUAC
Molecule: ribosomal RNA, 304 nt
Filed under: uncultured bacterium
Lineage: Bacteria
Description: partial 16S ribosomal RNA
Rfam family: Bacterial small subunit ribosomal RNA
Source: RNAcentral